RNAcentral lists this ribosomal RNA (533 nucleotides) under uncultured bacterium. RNAcentral's name for it is "bacterial SSU rRNA". It matches the Rfam family "Bacterial small subunit ribosomal RNA", at positions 777 to 1308 of the family's 1533-position model. The record is from RNAcentral.
AAUAGAUACCCGGGUAGUCCAUGCCGUAAACGAUGUCUACUAGCCGUUGGGGCCUUUGAGGCUUUAGUGGCGCAGCUAACGCGAUAAGUAGACCGCCUGGGGAGUACGGUCGCAAGACUAUAACUCAAAUGAAUUGACGGGGGCCCGCACAAGCGGUGGAGCAUGUGGUUUAAUUCGAUGCAACGCGAAGAACCUUACCUGGCCUUGACAUACUAAGAACUUUCCAGAGAUGGAUUGGUGCCUUCGGGAACUUAGAUACAGGUGCUGCAUGGCUGUCGUCAGCUCGUGUCGUGAGAUGUUGGGUUAAGUCCCGCAACGAGCGCAACCCUUUUCCUUAUUUGCCAGCGGGUAAUGCCGGGAACUUUAAGGAUACUGCCAGUGACAAACUGGAGGAAGGCGGGGACGACGGUCAAGUCAUCAUGGCCCUUACGGCCAGGGCUACACACGUGCUACAAUGGUCGGUACAAAGGGUUGCUACCUCGCGAGAGGAUGCUAAUCUCAAAAAGCCGAUCGUAGUCCGGAUCGCAGUCUGC